Glycine soja is the source of this 415-nucleotide long non-coding RNA. RefSeq lists it as uncharacterized. The transcript is spliced from 2 exons. Lineage: Eukaryota; Viridiplantae; Streptophyta; Magnoliopsida; Fabales; Fabaceae. The record is from RefSeq and is a predicted model, not a curated record.
AAACACAGGAUUGUAGUGUCAGAGAGAAAAAAAAUAGACUCCAAAAAUCACUUUCAACUCAGAGAUACACAAUGGCAAAAGCUUCAAUGUUGUUUCCUUGCUUAAUAGUUUUAUUUCUCAUAACAUAUGCAACAGGUUUUGUGGAUGCAUGUAACUACCCGUGCAAAUUCCCAAGUGAUUGUAAUAAUUUACGAUGUCUUCGCCCUGAUUGCAAAAAGUAUUGCCUCAAUGGAUGUUGCCUUUGCAAUUGUCGUCUUAUUCCACCUAGUGGAAAUGUUUGAUAAAGAAUUAUAAUAAAAGAAAGUUGAGUCUUUCAUGAUUCAAAUUAAGAUGCAAAAAUUUCCAUGACUUUGUUGUGGGAUUUAUUUGUAAUAAUAGAGUUGAAAUAAUAACGUCUUUAAUUCUUCGUCAACAA